This 1372-nucleotide ribosomal RNA is filed under the name uncultured bacterium. RNAcentral's name for it is "bacterial SSU rRNA". It matches the Rfam family "Bacterial small subunit ribosomal RNA", at positions 28 to 1381 of the family's 1533-position model. The record is from RNAcentral.
GAUGAACGCUGGCGGCGUGCCUAAUACAUGCAAGUCGAGCGAACGGACGAGAAGCUUGCUUCUCUGAUGUUAGCGGCGGACGGGUGAGUAACACGUGGAUAACCUACCUAUAAGACUGGGAUAACUUCGGGAAACCGUAGCUAAUACCGGAUAAUAUUUUGAACCGCAUGGUUCAAAAGUGAAAGACGGUCUUGCUGUCACUUAUAGAUGGAUCCGCGCUGCAUUAGCUAGUUGGUAAGGUAACGGCUUACCAAGGCAACGAUGCAUAGCCGACCUGAGAGGGUGAUCGGCCACACUGGAACUGAGACACGGUCCAGACUCCUACGGGAGGCAGCAGUAGGGAAUCUUCCGCAAUGGGCGAAAGCCUGACGGAGCAACGCCGCGUGAGUGAUGAAGGUCUUCGGAUCGUAAAACUCUGUUAUUAGGGAAGAACAUAUGUGUAAGUAACUGUGCACAUCUUGACGGUACCUAAUCAGAAAGCCACGGCUAACUACGUGCCAGCAGCCGCGGUAAUACGUAGGUGGCAAGCGUUAUCCGGAAUUAUUGGGCGUAAAGCGCGCGUAGGCGGUUUUUCAAGUCUGAUGUGAAAGCCCACGGCUCAACCGUGGAGGGUCAUUGGAAACUGGAAAACUUGAGUGCAGAAGAGGAAAGUGGAAUUCCAUGUGUAGCGGUGAAAUGCGCAGAGAUAUGGAGGAACACCAGUGGCGAAGGCGACUUUCUGGUCUGUAACUGACGCUGAUGUGCGAAAGCGUGGGGAUCAAACAGGAUUAGAUACCCUGGUAGUCCACGCCGUAAACGAUGAGUGCUAAGUGUUAGGGGGUUUCCGCCCCUUAGUGCUGCAGCUAACGCAUUAAGCACUCCGCCUGGGGAGUACGACCGCAAGGUUGAAACUCAAAGGAAUUGACGGGGACCCGCACAAGCGGUGGAGCAUGUGGUUUAAUUCGAAGCAACGCGAAGAACCUUACCAAAUCUUGACAUCCUUUGACAACUCUAGAGAUAGAGCCUUCCCCUUCGGGGGACAAAGUGACAGGUGGUGCAUGGUUGUCGUCAGCUCGUGUCGUGAGAUGUUGGGUUAAGUCCCGCAACGAGCGCAACCCUUAAGCUUAGUUGCCAUCAUUAAGUUGGGCACUCUAAGUUGACUGCCGGUGACAAACCGGAGGAAGGUGGGGAUGACGUCAAAUCAUCAUGCCCCUUAUGAUUUGGGCUACACACGUGCUACAAUGGACAAUACAAAGGGCAGCGAAACCGCGAGGUCAAGCAAAUCCCAUAAAGUUGUUCUCAGUUCGGAUUGUAGUCUGCAACUCGACUACAUGAAGCUGGAAUCGCUAGUAAUCGUAGAUCAGCAUGCUACGGUGAAUACGUUCCCGGGUCU